UAUUAUUCGGACGUCUAAAAUAUAUUAUACUUUUUUCUUUCAAAAUUUUACGUAGUUAUUCGGGAACUAGAACAAUGCUAGGCGAUGUGCAGUUUGCGAGACUGGUGCUCGAUUCCAUGGAUGCUGUGGGUGGUACCGCUAGCCUGAAUGUUAUCCUGCAAAUUAUCAAAGAGGUCACCAACGCUAGAGUUAUAGACCUGUUUGAUACAGUGGCAGACAUCAUGCACAGUUUUAUGGAGAUCGGAAUAGUCCGAAGGGUGAACGAUGAGUAUCAAAUCGUAGAUAUCAGCAAAGAAACUUUUGGACUUUUUCGGUGAAGGAUUUUAAAUAAAGAUACCAAUGACAAGUUCACGGAUCCCUUCCUAGAACAAUUUUUGUGUUGAAAUUUUGUUUCGGCUGAAAAUUGUUUGCAAACUAAGACUUUGAAAUAUAAAAACAUUUAAAGAAAUCACAUUUGAAAUAUAAAAGCAUCGAAGGAAUUAGAUUUAUAACAAACAUUUAUAGGAGGUACAGGAAAAAAGGUGUUGAAUGUUUAAAAGUGAAAAUUUAGAAUAUAACUUACAAAUGUAAACUAGUGUAAUCGAAUCUGAAUAGUAAUACCUCAUAAAUUUUAGGUUGAGUAAGCGAUAUUGAAAUAACCAAUGAAGUUAUUUCUAAUAAAAUUAAAUUACUAACAACAUUUUAGUAAGAGUUGUAUUGCCGUCCUCAAAAAGCCCUAAAAUAAGUUGAUAUCAGCAAAGAAACUUUUGGACUUUUUCGGUGAAGGAUUUUAAAUAAAGAUACCAAUGACAAGUUCACGGAUCCCUUCCUAGAACAAUUUUUGUGUUGAAAUUUUGUUUCGGCUGAAAAUUGUUUGCAAACUAAGACUUUGAAAUAUAAAAACAUUUAAAGAAAUCACAUUUGAAAUAUAAAAGCAUCGAAGGAAUUAGAUUUAUAACAAACAUUUAUAGGAGGUACAGGAAAAAAGGUGUUGAAUGUUUAAAAGUGAAAAUUUAGAAUAUAACUUACAAAUGUAAACUAGUGUAAUCGAAUCUGAAUAGUAAUACCUCAUAAAUUUUAGGUUGAGUAAGCGAUAUUGAAAUAACCAAUGAAGUUAUUUCUAAUAAAAUUAAAUUACUA
This is a long non-coding RNA of Drosophila subpulchrella, 1119 nucleotides long. RefSeq lists it as uncharacterized. Lineage: Eukaryota; Metazoa; Arthropoda; Insecta; Diptera; Drosophilidae. The transcript has 3 exons. The record is from RefSeq and is a predicted model, not a curated record.